Molecule: ribosomal RNA, 253 nt
Filed under: uncultured bacterium
Lineage: Bacteria
Description: partial 16S ribosomal RNA
Rfam family: Bacterial small subunit ribosomal RNA
Source: RNAcentral
UACGGAGGGUGCGAGCGUUGUCCGGAAUCACUGGGCGUAAAGGGCGCGUAGGUGGCUACUCAAGCGCGCGGUGAAAGCCCGGGGCUCAACCCCGGGUCGGCCGUGCGGACUGGGAGGCUCGAGCACUGUAGGGGCGGGUGGAAUUCCUGGUGUAGCGGUGAAAUGCGCAGAUAUCAGGAAGAACACCCGUGGCUAAGGCGGUUCUCUAGUACGGUACUGACGCUGAGACGCGAAAGCGUGGGGAGCGAACAGG